UGCUGGCUCUUCUUCAGAGGGGGUAUGUGCACGCUUGUCAUCUUUAUCAUUUCUCCAACUGUGCACAUAUUGUAGACCUGUUCCUUUUUUGAAGAAAUUCAAGUUGGGGGAUGCUGUGCUUUCCAAAAAGUCGGCUUUCCCUUGUAUUUUUCAGGUCUAUGUCAUUUUUCACAACCUCUAGAAUGCGUUUAGAAUGUUGAAUCAUAUAUAAAGUUAAUAUACAACUUUCAGCAACGGAUCUCUUGGCUCUCGCAUCGAUGAAGAACGCAGCGAAAUGCGAUAAGUAAUGUGAAUUGCAGAAUUCAGUGAAUCAUCGAAUCUUUGAACGCAUCUUGCGCUCCUUGGUAUUCCGAGGAGCAUGCCUGUUUGAGUGUCAUUUGACUUCUCUCAACCACAUUGUCUUUUCAAUGUGGCUUGGAUGUGGGGGAAUUUCUUUGCAGGCUUUUUAAUUUAAGAAGCCGGCUCCCUGAAUGCAUUAGUGUGUCUGACUGCUAUUGUGUGAUAAUUUAUCUAUGCUUUGGAAUGCUGGUCAGCGGCCGCUUAUACAGACAAAUUCAUUUGACAAUUGACCUCAAUCAGGUAGGACUACCGCUGACUUAAGCAUAUCAUAA
Molecule: ribosomal RNA, 611 nt
Filed under: uncultured Inocybe
Lineage: Eukaryota; Fungi; Basidiomycota; Agaricomycetes; Agaricales; Cortinariaceae
Description: eukaryotic LSU rRNA
Rfam family: 5.8S ribosomal RNA (bases 223-376)
Source: RNAcentral